Molecule: ribosomal RNA, 468 nt
Filed under: uncultured bacterium
Lineage: Bacteria
Description: partial 16S ribosomal RNA
Rfam family: Bacterial small subunit ribosomal RNA
Source: RNAcentral
GACGAACGCUGGCGGCGUGCUUAACACAUGCAAGUCGAACGGAAAGGCCCUGCUUUUGUGGGGUGCUCGAGUGGCGAACGGGUGAGUAACACGUGAGUAACCUGCCCUUGACUGUGGGAUGACUUCAGGAAACUGGGGCUACUACCGGAUAGGAGCGCCUGCUGCAUGGGGGGGGUUGGAAAGUUUCGGCGGGUGGGGAUGGACUCGGGGGUAAUCAGCUUGUUGGUCGGGUAGUUGCUUACCAACGCAUGGACGGGUAGCCGGCCUGGGAGGGUGACCGGCCACAUUGGGCCUGAGAGACGGCCCAGUCUGCUACGGGAGGCAGCAGUGGGGAAUAUGGCACAAUGGGCGGACGCCUGAUGCAGAAACGCUGCGUGCGGGAUGACGGCCUUCUGGUUGUAAACCGCUUUAGCCUGUGACGAAGCGUGAGUGACGGUAAUGGGUAAAGAAGCACCGGCUAACUACGUG